GAAAUGCGAUAAGUAGUGUGAAUUGCAGAAUUUAGUGAAUCAUCGAAUCUUUGAACGCACAUUGCGCCCCUUGGUAUUCCAUGGGGCAUGCCUGUUCGAGCGUCAUUUGUACCCUCAAGCUCUGCUUGGUGUUGGGUGUUUGUCCCGUCUCCGCGCGUGGACUCGCCCCAAAGUGAUUGGCAGCCGGCGUACUGGUCCCGGAGCGCAGCACAUGUCGCGCAAACGAGUGCCUUGGUACGGCGGCGUCCAUAAGCCCCUCUCUCACGCUCUUGACCUCGGAUCAGGUAGGGAUACCCGCUGAACUUAAGC
Molecule: unclassified non-coding RNA, 309 nt
Filed under: plant metagenome
Description: partial contains 5.8S ribosomal RNA, internal transcribed spacer 2, and large subunit ribosomal RNA
Rfam family: 5.8S ribosomal RNA (bases 1-105)
Source: RNAcentral